RNAcentral lists this ribosomal RNA (498 nucleotides) under uncultured bacterium. RNAcentral's name for it is "partial 16S ribosomal RNA". It matches the Rfam family "Bacterial small subunit ribosomal RNA", at positions 30 to 523 of the family's 1533-position model. The record is from RNAcentral.
AUUGAACGCUGGCGGCAUGCUUUACACAUGCAAGUCGAACGGUAACAGGCCGCAAGGUGCUGACGAGUGGCGAACGGGUGAGUAAUGCAUCGGAACGUGCCCAGUCGUGGGGGAUAACGCAGCGAAAGCUGCGCUAAUACCGCAUACGAGCUAUGGUUGAAAGCGGGGGACCGUAAGGCCUCGAGCUAUUGGAGCGGCCGAUGUCAGAUUAGGUAGUUGGUGGGGUAAAGGCUCACCAAGCCAACGAUCUGUGGCUGGUCUGAGAGGACGACCAGCCACACUGGGACGGAGACACGGCCCAGACUCCUACGGGAGGCAGCAGUGGGGAAUUUUGGACAAUGGGCGCAAGCCUGAUCCAGCAAUGCCGCGUGCAGGAAGAAGGCCUUCGGGUUGUAAACUGCUUUUGUACGGAACGAAACGGCUCUGGUUAAUACCUGGGGCUAAUGACGGUACCGUAAGAAUAAGCACCGGCUAACUACGUGCCAGCCGCCGCCGUAA